CAUAGCGUAGUCGGUUAACGCGCCAGAUUGUGGAUCUGGAGAUCGAGGGUUCGAGUCCCUCUG
This 63-nucleotide transfer RNA is filed under the name Candidatus Faecalibacterium avium. It matches the Rfam family "tRNA", at positions 6 to 65 of the family's 71-position model. From Rfam's summary of the family: Transfer RNA (tRNA) molecules are approximately 80 nucleotides in length. Their secondary structure includes four short double-helical elements and three loops (D, anti-codon, and T loops). Further hydrogen bonds mediate the characteristic L-shaped molecular structure. tRNAs have two regions of fundamental functional importance: the anti-codon, which is responsible for specific mRNA codon recognition, and the 3' end, to which the tRNAs corresponding amino acid is attached (by aminoacyl-tRNA synthetases). tRNAs cope with the degeneracy of the genetic code in two manners: having more than one tRNA (with a specific anti-codon) for a particular amino acid; and 'wobble' base-pairing, i.e. permitting non-standard base-pairing at the 3rd anti-codon position. Lineage: Bacteria; Bacillati; Bacillota; Clostridia; Eubacteriales; Oscillospiraceae. The record is from RNAcentral. RNAcentral also lists the same sequence under 6 other names.